AAACACAUUGAGGAUGGAUGAUUUAAUUUGAAUGGAAACGGAUAUAUCAAUCAUACCAAUCUAAAAAGAGGCAAUACUAAGUGGUCUUGUUAAAUAUUGAUGGAUGUAUUAUUGUGAAAGGUAGUUAUCCUGUUAUUACCUUUCACUGUCAAAUGCAUGAUGUUUGUCACUUGUAAAUUGUUGUGAAAACUACACUAAAAAACCAUACAUAAGUUCUUAUCAACUUAAAAUAAGUUGAUGAUACGUUAAACAUUUGAAAGGAAAAGAGAAGCAUGUAUAAGCUUAUAUUUAUGUUCUGUUUUACUUUGUUCUCUGUUAAGGGUGAAUUCUGCAAGACCCUUAUUACUCUCUUCGAGAAGCAUAAACGUGCAGGCCACCUUCAAUUUGUAGAGUAAGCAUUGUUCUGUAUUUCACUGGUUUGUUUUGGUCUGCCAGUUUGAAGCUGUGACUACCUAAGAGGAGUGCAGAGUAUAUUUUCAUCUGUCUGUAUGCAAACUCCUUCCCCAGGCAAAUUCUUGGACCCGCCUGUGUCACAGUAUCACAGUAAGUCUCAAGUUCUGUAGAGUUCUAGAGGACAAAUCUUAUGUAAUAAAAAAAAUUCUGGUUAUUUUAUUUUAUUGCAUAAACAAAAAUAAAAUCUCCUACGUGAAAGGCUGUGAACUUAAAAGGGCUUUCUUUCUUCAAAAUUCCAUUCUCAUCGAGCCAUCUCUCUGGCCUGAAUUUGUCGGCAUCUUCGCCCCACAAGAACUUCAUCCUUCCCAUAACAUACGGUUGGAAUGACACAAGAUCACCUUUCCUCACGCUAAAUCCAUCUGGCCACGUGUCAUCUGAGAAACAAAACUUACCUUGCUACAAAGGCAUCAUAAAAUUGGUACGGCAUCUUUUCCAGGUUCUCUUCAGUUACUCUUGCUGCAAGUUCGUCAAUGGUUGACCCAGCUGCUACAUUUGUUGUCUCUCUAAUUUCUUGUUCAAUCUUCUCCUGCACGUGAGAGUUCUUGCAAAUCUCAU
Molecule: small RNA, 1008 nt
Filed under: Vigna angularis var. angularis
Lineage: Eukaryota; Viridiplantae; Streptophyta; Magnoliopsida; Fabales; Fabaceae
Description: Non-protein coding transcript
Source: RNAcentral